This 250-nucleotide ribosomal RNA is filed under the name uncultured bacterium. RNAcentral's name for it is "partial 16S ribosomal RNA". It matches the Rfam family "Bacterial small subunit ribosomal RNA", at positions 803 to 1058 of the family's 1533-position model. The record is from RNAcentral.
UAAACGAUGAUUACUCGUUUUUGGGUUUUAGGAUUCAGAGACUAAGCGAAAGUGAUAAGUAAUCCACCUGGGGAGUACGUUCGCAAGAAUGAAACUCAAAGGAAUUGACGGGGGCCCGCACAAGCGGUGGAGCAUGUGGUUUAAUUCGAUGAUACGCGAGGAACCUUACCAAGACUUAAAUGGGAAAUGACAGAUUUAGAAAUAGAUCCUUCUUCGGACAUUUUUCAAGGUGCUGCAUGGCUGUCGUCAG